RNAcentral lists this ribosomal RNA (520 nucleotides) under uncultured Glomus. RNAcentral describes it as "SSU rRNA". It matches the Rfam family "Eukaryotic small subunit ribosomal RNA", at positions 569 to 1092 of the family's 1831-position model. The record is from RNAcentral. Lineage: Eukaryota; Fungi; Glomeromycota; Glomeromycetes; Glomerales; Glomeraceae.
AGCAGCCGCGGUAAUUCCAGCUCCAAUAGCGUAUAUUAAAGUUGUUGCAGUUAAAAAGCUCGUAGUUGAAUUUCGGGAUUAAUUUAUUGGUCGUGCUAUUGUACGUACUGGUAUUAUUGAUUCCUACCUUCUGACGAACCACGAUGUCAUUAAUUUGGUGUCUUGGGGAAUCAGGACUGUUACUUUGAAAAAAUUAGAGUGUUUAAAGCAGGCUCACGCUUGAAUACAUUAGCAUGGAAUAACGAAAUAGGACGUUUGAUUCUAUUUUGUUGGCUUCUAGGAUCGACGUAAUGAUUAAUAGGGAUAGUUGGGGACAUUAGUAUUCAAUUGUCAGAGGUGAAAUUCUUGGAUUUAUUGAAGACUAACUACUGCGAAAGCAUUUGCCAAGGAUGUUUUCAUUAAUCAAGAACGAAAGUUAGGGGAUCGAAGACGAUCAGAUACCGUCGUAGUCUUAACCAUAAACUAUGCCGACUAGGGAUCGGAUGAUGUUAAUUUUUAAUGACUCAUUCGGCGCCUUACG